This 73-nucleotide transfer RNA is filed under the name Rikenellaceae bacterium. RNAcentral describes it as "tRNA-Met". It matches the Rfam family "tRNA". Rfam says of the family: Transfer RNA (tRNA) molecules are approximately 80 nucleotides in length. Lineage: Bacteria; Pseudomonadati; Bacteroidota; Bacteroidia; Bacteroidales; Rikenellaceae. The record is from RNAcentral.
CGCGGAGUGGAGCAGUUGGCAGCUCGUUGGGCUCAUAACCCAAAGGUCGGAGGUUCGAGUCCUCCCUCCGCUA